UUUAAGUGUAGUUGUGGGUUUCAAUGUCCAACGUUUCACCGUCUUAUUUAAUUUGUUUAUAAUUAGUAUUUUUUAUUGUUAUUAGAUGAUAAAAUGUGAAUAGUACUUCAUGCGUGACUUAUUUUUUUAUAAUUUUUUUAAAUAAAACAGAUGUUGAAACGUUAGACAUAUGAACCCACAACUGCACUUAGA
Molecule: microRNA precursor, 192 nt
Organism: Oryza sativa Japonica Group (Japanese rice)
Lineage: Eukaryota; Viridiplantae; Streptophyta; Magnoliopsida; Poales; Poaceae
Rfam family: MIR812 microRNA precursor family
Source: Rfam